This 305-nucleotide ribosomal RNA is filed under the name uncultured bacterium. RNAcentral describes it as "bacterial SSU rRNA". It matches the Rfam family "Bacterial small subunit ribosomal RNA", at positions 335 to 638 of the family's 1533-position model. The record is from RNAcentral.
UGCCUACGGGGGGCAGCAGUGAGGAAUAUUGGUCAAUGGGCGGAAGCCUGAACCAGCCAAGUCGCGUGAGGGAAUAAGGCCCUACGGGUCGUAAACCUCUUUUGCCGGGGAGCAAGGGCGGGGACGUGUCCCGGCCCGGAGAGUACCCGGAGAAAAAGCAUCGGCUAACUCCGUGCCAGCAGCCGCGGUAAUACGGAGGAUGCGAGCGUUAUCCGGAUUUAUUGGGUUUAAAGGGUGCGUAGGCGGACUGGAAAGUCAGCGGUAAAAUCGAGAGGCUCAACCUCUUUCCGCCGUUGAAACUGUCG